Molecule: ribosomal RNA, 980 nt
Filed under: Pediococcus pentosaceus
Lineage: Bacteria; Bacillati; Bacillota; Bacilli; Lactobacillales; Lactobacillaceae
Description: bacterial SSU rRNA
Rfam family: Bacterial small subunit ribosomal RNA
Source: RNAcentral
GUUAAAGAAGAACGUGGGUAAGAGUAACUGUUUACCCAGUGACGGUAUUUAACCAGAAAGCCACGGCUAACUACGUGCCAGCAGCCGCGGUAAUACGUAGGUGGCAAGCGUUAUCCGGAUUUAUUGGGCGUAAAGCGAGCGCAGGCGGUCUUUUAAGUCUAAUGUGAAAGCCUUCGGCUCAACCGAAGAAGUGCAUUGGAAACUGGGAGACUUGAGUGCAGAAGAGGACAGUGGAACUCCAUGUGUAGCGUGCGUAGAUAUAUGGAGACACCAGUGGCGAAGGCGGCUGUCUGGUCUGCAACUGACGCUGAGGCUCGAAAGCAUGGGUAGCGAACAGGAUUAGAUACCCUGGUAGUCCAUGCCGUAAACGAUGAUUACUAAGUGUUGGAGGGUUUCCGCCCUUCAGUGCUGCAGCUAACGCAUUAAGUAAUCCGCCUGGGGAGUACGACCGCAAGGUUGAAACUCAAAAGAAUUGACGGGGGCCCGCACAAGCGGUGGAGCAUGUGGUUUAAUUCGAAGCUACGCGAAGAACCUUACCAGGUCUUGACAUCUUCUGACAGUCUAAGAGAUUAGAGGUUCCCUUCGGGGACAGAAUGACAGGUGGUGCAUGGUUGUCGUCAGCUCGUGUCGUGAGAUGUUGGGUUAAGUCCCGCAACGAGCGCAACCCUUAUUACUAGUUGCCAGCAUUAAGUUGGGCACUCUAGUGAGACUGCCGGUGACAAACCGGAGGAAGGUGGGGACGACGUCAAAUCAUCAUGCCCCUUAUGACCUGGGCUACACACGUGCUACAAUGGAUGGUACAACGAGUCGCGAGACCGCGAGGUUAAGCUAAUCUCUUAAAACCAUUCUCAGUUCGGACUGUAGGCUGCAACUCGCCUACACGAAGUCGGAAUCGCUAGUAAUCGCGGAUCAGCAUGCCGCGGUGAAUACGUUCCCGGGCCUUGUACACACCGCCCGUCACACCAUGAAGAUUUUGUAAA